This 106-nucleotide small nuclear RNA is filed under the name Suricata suricatta (meerkat). RNAcentral's name for it is "U2 spliceosomal RNA (ENSSSUG00005003115.1)". It matches the Rfam family "U2 spliceosomal RNA". From Rfam's summary of the family: U2 is a small nuclear RNA (snRNA) component of the spliceosome (involved in pre-mRNA splicing). Complementary binding between U2 snRNA (in an area lying towards the 5' end but 3' to hairpin I) and the branchpoint sequence (BPS) of the intron results the bulging out of an unpaired adenosine, on the BPS, which initiates a nucleophilic attack at the intronic 5' splice site, thus starting the first of two transesterification reactions that mediate splicing. The record is from Rfam by way of RNAcentral. Lineage: Eukaryota; Metazoa; Chordata; Mammalia; Carnivora; Herpestidae.
AUCGCUUCUCAGCCUUUUGGCUAAGAUCAAGUGUAGUAUCUGUUCUUAUCAAUUUAAAAAUUGGUUAAGAGACUCAAUUAAAAUGAUGAAAAAUAUGACAACAUAU